Molecule: ribosomal RNA, 506 nt
Filed under: uncultured bacterium
Lineage: Bacteria
Description: partial 16S ribosomal RNA
Rfam family: Bacterial small subunit ribosomal RNA
Source: RNAcentral
AGUGAACGCUGGCGGUAGGCCUAACACAUGCAAGUCGAACGGCAUCACAGGAGAGCUUGCUCUCUGGGUGGCGAGUGGCGGACGGGUGAGGAAUACAUCGGAAUCUACUUUUUCGUGGGGAAUAACGUAGGGAAACUUACGCUAAUACCGCAUACGACCUACGGGUGAAAGCAGGGGAUCUUCGGACCUUGCGCGAUUGAAUGAGCCGAUGUCGGAUUAGCUAGUUGGCGGGGUAAAGGCCCACCAAGGGGACGAUCCGUAGCUGGUCUGAGAGGAUGAGCAGCCACACUGGAACUGAGACACGGUCCAGACUCCUACGGGAGGCAGCAGUGGGGAAUAUUGGACAAUGGGCGCAAGCCUGAUCCAGCCAUACCGCGUGGGUGAAGAAGGCCUUCGGGUUGUAAAGCCCUUUUGUUGGGAAAGAAAUCCAGCUGGUUAAUACCCGGUUGGGAUGACGGUACCCAAAGAAUAAGCACCGGCUAACUUCGUGCCAGCCGCCGCCGUAA